This 2071-nucleotide long non-coding RNA is filed under the name Gadus morhua (Atlantic cod). Its description in RNAcentral is "lncRNA (ENSGMOG00000024923.1)". The record is from RNAcentral. Lineage: Eukaryota; Metazoa; Chordata; Actinopteri; Gadiformes; Gadidae.
AUGAAGUCUACAGUGCGAGAUGAAAUGGUGGAUUCGUCCGAGUGUCUGCGGCAGUACGGGCUGUACCGGCUCCACAGCCACAUGGUCCUGCUGACCCGGUCACGGGAGGGCCCGCUGGAGCCCCCGCCCGAGCCCACCCCGGUCCCCCGCUGGAAGCUGGUGCGGCCCCGCGUGAAAGACCACUCCCUGGCCACGGACGAACCCAGAGUGCCCCCCGUGCCGAAGCUGGACCGCUUUGUGGAGGUCUUCAGCCCCCUCGCUUCCUACCAGCCCAGCGGCAGCAGCGGCCGGCCCCACCCACCGCAGGACGGCAGGCAGAGUAACCCCAGAGGGUUCUCCACCUGCAACUCGGCCCUGUCAUCCUUCACUGAGGCUGGGGUGCAGGAGAUCCAGCAGGAGAGCUCUGAUCCCAGAUCAGCUGAAUCACCCAGCAACCCUGCUAACAACCAGGUUACUGCAGAGGACGGCAAGAAGGACGGCGUCGCCACGACCAAUGGUAUAAGCCUUUCUGUUCCCUAAAGCUUGUCAGCCAUUGAUACGCGCACAAUGGGGCCUAAUAAUGGCAUGCACGGCUCUCCGAGACGCCACACAAACAUUGACUCAGCCAGGGCCACACGGUAGCCGAGCCCUGCUGCUUCUCAUUCAUUCCACGCUAUGUCUGUGAUAAAUAAAUGGAAAUAAUAACAAUUAGAAUUACUGCUUCAGCAUAGCAGGGUGAGGCUGUACCCAUUUGACAAGAAGAUAACAGCCUAUCCCCCCCCCCUUCUCCUCUGUUUGGCCAACCGGUUGGUUCUGAGGCUCUUUGAAGAUGCUUGUGGAAUUAGGCCUGGGGAGAACCAGCCAAUUACCUGCCUUCUGCAACCCCCCCUCCCCGUUUAGUUGCUUAGUAACACCUGCGAGUGGAGCGAGAAGACCACCAUUGCUCAGCAGCAGAAUAGCUGGCCCCCCGGUCGCCUAGGCUCCAUGAUCAGACGGUCUCUCUCUCUCACUCUCGCCCUCGCUCUGUUUGGAGUGGAGCGCUCGGGGGCAGAGUGAGCUGGUGGGUGUGUAUAUUUUUGGGUUCAUUUAUUUAUUUAUUUAUUUAUUUAUAUAUUUGGUAUCUUUUGUCCCUUUUUUUUCUGGGAGAUAGAGGAGGAGGUCGGGGGGCUAGCCUGUGUGUUUGUGUGCCAUGAAUGUGUGUGUGUGUGUGUGUGUGUGUGUGUGUGUGUGUGCGUGUGUGUGUGUGUGUGUCUGUGUCUGUGUCUGUGUCUGUGUGCAGUGCAUGACGGCUGUGGGUGUUUGGUGAGUAGGAGUGUGCGCGCGUGCGUGAGCGCUUGCUUAGACUAUGCCAUUAUGUGGGAGUUUGGCCAUUUCAAAUCAACAUGUUUAAGAUAAGGAUUUGAGUCUUCGAUAACUUGCAGUGAGUCACGAGAGGAAAAGGCACUGCUGCCCACAGCAUAAAAAGAUAUCACACUCCAUAUAUACAUCCAGUAUGUAUAUAAACAAAUAAAUAAAUAAGUAUGGUUUCUUUAUCAUGCUUUAAUUUGAUAAAAAAACACGCUAGAGAACCCCCCAUUUCCUUAAUUGCCAUACGCCGAGUUAUUUUAGUGAGAAAUAUACAAUACGAUAUACAACAAUAGUAUAGGUAGGUUGCUUUGAGAUUAAGGAUAAUUCUUGGUUGAAUGAAAAAUGAUCGGACCAAGCGGUAGGAAAUUGUGAAUUAAAGAUGAACUAAAAUAAAACCUUGCAGUUGCGGUACCAGAAAGGCAAUGCCGGUAGCAGUAAAAGUCAAUGACCUAUGGUAACCGCAGAGAUUGUUUCUGAAAGGCAGGGUACCAACUAAGUGCAGUGUCGGUAACGGCAAACCGAGAUGUAUCAGACCUUCUUUUAUUUCCAAAGGGCAUGGCCGACAGUCAUAAGAAUGCAAUGCGCAACCAGCAAGACCGAUGGCCUGGUAAGUGAGUGUGUUGUUGUGGUCCCUCAGAGCAGCACGGGGCCGAGACAACGGGGGGGCCACAGGUAGAGCGACCCACUGCGAGGCCCACCCCGCUGCUGGCUGAAGCCCUCUCUGCUCCUCCUCACGUACCACCAC